CUCCCGCCGGCGACCGGCGCACGGGUGAGUAACACGUAUGAAACCUGCCCGUAGCAGGGGGAUAAGCGGAAGAAAUUCCGUCUAAUACCGCGUAACAACCCGAGGAGGCAUCUCCUCGGGUUUAAAGGAAGCGAUUCCGGCUACGGAUGGUCAUGCGUCGCAUUAGCUAGUUGGCGGGGUAACGGCCCAUCAAGGCGACGAUGCGUAGGGGUUCUGAGAGGAAGGUCCCCCACACUGGUACUGAGACACGGACCAGACUCCUACGGAAGGCAGCAG
This 276-nucleotide ribosomal RNA is filed under the name uncultured bacterium. RNAcentral's name for it is "partial 16S ribosomal RNA". It matches the Rfam family "Bacterial small subunit ribosomal RNA", at positions 82 to 354 of the family's 1533-position model. The record is from RNAcentral.